This 466-nucleotide ribosomal RNA is filed under the name uncultured bacterium. RNAcentral describes it as "partial 16S ribosomal RNA". It matches the Rfam family "Bacterial small subunit ribosomal RNA", at positions 28 to 507 of the family's 1533-position model. The record is from RNAcentral.
GGUGAACGCUGGCGGCGUGCUUAACACAUGCAAGUCGAACGAUGGAGCCCUGCGUGCUGGCUCUAAUAGGUGCGGACGGGUGAGUAACUCGUGAGUAACCUGGCCUUAACUUUUGCAUAAGCCUUGAAAACUGGGUCUAUUACCUGAUAGCAGCUACGACCGCAGGGUGGGUGUUGGAGAGCUUUAUCGGUUUUGGAUGGACUCGCGGCCUAUCAGCUUGUUGGUGUGGUAAUGGCUCACCACGGCCACGACGGGUAGCCGUCCUGAGAGUGUGACCGGCCACCAUGGGACUGAGAGACGGCCCAGACUGCUACGGGAGGCAGCAGGGGCGAAUAUUGACCAACGGGCGCAAGCCUGUUGAAGCGACGCCGCGUGAGGGAUGACGGCGUUAGGGGUGUAAACCUCAUCAAGUAGGGAAGCAGCGAAAGUGACGGUACCUGCAGAAGAAGCACCGGCUAACUACGUG